CUCCCCGGGAAGGAGUGGGUCUGGGUCCAGUCCGCAGGACCCCCUCGCGGAUGCUGACGCAGAAUGGAGUUGAGGUGGGGGCAGCGCUGGACCCUAGGGCCCCUGCCUGCCUCCUGGGGAGCCCGGUGACCCAGGCAGCCCUGGUGAGGCCGCAGGAGUCUGGGCCCUAGCGACGCCCCCGGGCUCCCACAGGACGAAUGUAGACGGUGAGGCCAAGGACGCCCUGCUGCCCUCGGGACUGUCCCUCCAGCCCCCAGCUUUCCGUGGUUAUUGGGCCCCCUCUGCAGAGGGGCAGGGGAGCCCACCCUGGAUCCUGAGGCGCCGAGCUUGAGGGACCCCAGAGCUCCAGCCAGGCCGCUUUCUUUGCGGAUGGUGAAGCUGAGGUCCCGAGGAGGGCAGGGGCAGGUCCCGGGCGCUCCUCAGGCAAAGGGAGCCGAUUUAGGGGCUGGGGUCACAGGAGGCGCUUCUGCGACCUCUAGGGCCCUAGAGCCCGGGAGGAUGAGAGACUGGGGGCCUUUCGUCCACCCCUGGGGCUGGGCAGACGCUCAGCCUGUGCAACCCGAAGCUGCUUCUGCCCAGUCCCAGCCGCGGCCCCUUUAAGAGGGGGUGGUGCUUCAGCCUGGCGCCAGGGACGCUGCCAGCAUGCAGGCCCCGACGGAAGCCGAGACUGCGCUUCGUGCGAGGCCCGGGCAGCAUCGGCGGCGUGGUCAGAGCGAGUCUCGGAGAAGAUGUGGUGGCUUCCGUUUGUUGGUGGAGGAGGUGGCAGGCCUCGGCGGGUAACCCAGAGAACACAGCCGAAGUGGAAUGUGGGGACGUCUGCGACACCGGGGACAGAGCAACUGUGGAUGAAGAGGGCUACAUCUGGUUCCUGGGGAGGAGUCAUGACACUAUCAAUGCCUCUGGGUGGUGAAGGCAUUGAUUGUCCUGACCCCACAGUUUCUGUCCCAUGACAAGGACCAGCUGACUAAGGAGCUGCAGCAGCAUGUAAAGUCAGUGACAGCCCCAUCUGCCACCAGCACUCACUCCAGCCACUAAAGCCAGAAAGUUGAAAGACCUCUGCCCUCAUCCGGCCCAGCCCCCAUCCAGCCAAAGACCUGUCAUUUCAACCUCACGCCCACCCCGCUUUCCACUCCCACUGCUCCUGCCUUAGUUCAGACCACCACCGUCGCUCUCCUACCCAGUUCAAGCCAAGCUGACCUGGCCAGUGGCCUUCAGGCCUUCCCUUCUCCAUCCUGCCAUGUCCAUCCUCCACAGGCAGAACAGGAAGCUGUCAUGUAAAAGUGCAGGUCUGCUUUGGUCCUUCUCCUAAACCCUUCAGUGGCUUCCCGGUUCCCUUUGGGUCCUGGUACAGAUUCCUUAGCAUGGCCAGGGAGGACAGCCCUCCAUGAUCCUCCCCUCCCUGAGAUGUUCCUCCUGCCCCAGCACCCUGUGUUUGAGCCCAAGCCCGCCCUGUGGUGUCACGGGAGGCCCAGCUCCUCUGCCUGGGGUGCCUUGCCUGGCCUAGGAACUGGGAAAACUUACCUGCUUCCAAGACUCAGCUCUAGCACCUCUUCCUGCUGGGUGUUUUCCGAUGCCCCCCCUCUCGCCACCUCAUGGGGACCCCACAGUCCCCUGAAGAGCCUUCUGCCCCAGUGCCUCACCCCACUCUUUAGACCUGUUUCUGUUUCCAUGGCUGCCUUGCCUUCUUAGACCACGGGCUCCUGCAGAGCGGGACCCCAUAUCUCAGUCGGCUUUGCAUUCCCAGUGCCUGGCCGAAACUGAGGCUGGAAUGGUCUCCUAUUCCAUAAGCUCUCAAUAACCCUUGAAAAAUGACUGGAAUCCUGGACAGCGCCAAGGCAGCAACUGGGAUGGGAGAGUGAUCUGCUGCCCUCUCCUGGCAAUGUGAGGAAUUGUCCUAAGCACAGACAACUCCCUCCCUGCCUUGCACAAGUGCAGGAUGGGGGAAACUGGAAAAGGAGCUGAUGGAGGAUUGGGGAGGUGGAUGCUGUCUAAGGAGACAAACUGAAUUGAGGGGUUGCUGGGACUCGGCCGGCUCACAUGCUAUUCCCAUGUCAUGGGCCCAGGGGCCAAGUCAGUGCUUCCAAAGGAGGGUGCAUCCUGAGAGAGGCUCUGGCUCCCCCAACAAAACCCUAAACUCUUGAAGGACAUCUUCCUUCUCAGUAUACCCUAUUGCUGUGUUGUUGUAACUAUCACUGUAACUUUUAUUCACUUCAGUGGGCGAUCACUGAGUUUUUCCUCCAUUGUUGUAAAACAUGUGUUUUGCUCUUGUGUGUAAAAUGACUGUGAAUUUAGCCACUGCCUUCUCCUGAUUUUAACUCAGCUUUCUACUGCUAGGAGGUUAUCUCUGUUCUGGGUUUCUCAGCUUUCUAUCAAAACCCAAAUACUGUCAUUCCUCGGUAUCCGUAGGGGAUUGGUUCCAGGAACCUCCCUUGAAGAUACCAACAUUGCAGGUGCCCAAGCCCCUGAUAGAGAACAGCGCAGCAUUUGCAGACAACCUAUGUACACACUGCAUGCACUUUCAAUCAGCUCUAGAUUACUUCUGAUACCUAAUUCAAUGUAAAUGCUGUGUCAGUAGUUGUCUAGGGAAUAAUGACAAGAAGAAAAUUUUGUACAUGUUCAGUACGUAGGAAAAAGAAAGAGAGAUCAGACUGUCACUGUGUCUAUGUAGAAAGGGAAGACAUAAGAGAUUCCAUUUUGAAAAAGACCUGUACUUUAAACAGUUGCUUUGCUGAGAUGUUGUUAAUUUGUAGCUUUGCCCCAGCCACUUUGCCUUAGCCACUUUGACCCAACCUGGAGCUCACAAAAAUAUGUGUUGUAUAAAAUCAAGGUUUAAGGGAUCUAGGGCUGUGCAGGAUAUGCCUUGUUAACAAAAUGUUUACAAGCAGUAUACUUGGUAAAGGUCAUCGCCAUUCUCUAGUCUCAAUAAAACAGGAGCACAGUGCACUGCGGAAAGCCGCAGGGACCUCUGCCCUUGAAAGUGGGGUAUUGUCCAAGGUUUCUCCCCAUGUGAUAGUCUGAAAUAUGGCCUCGUGGGAUGAGAAAGACCUGACUGUGCCCCAGCCCGACACCCAUAAAGGGUCUGUGCUGAGGUGGAUUAGUAAAAGAGGAAAGCCUCUUGCAGUUGAGAUAGAGGAAGGCCACUGUCUCCUGCCUGCCCCUGGGAACUGAAUGUCUCGGUAUAAAACCCGAUUGUACAUUUGUUCAAUUCUGAGAUAGGAGAAAAACCGCCCUAUGGUGGGAGGCGAGACAUGUUUGCAGCAAUGCUGCCUUGUUAUUCUUUACUCCGCUGAGAUGUUUGGGUGGAGAGAAACAUAAAUCUGGCCUACAUGCACAUCCGGGCAUAGUACCUUCCCUUGAACUUAAUCAUGACACAGAUUCUUUUGCUCACAUGUUUUUUGCUGACCUUCUCCUUAUUAUCACCCUGCUGUCCUACUACAUUCCUUUUUGCUGAAAUAAUGAAAAUAAUAGUCAAUAAAAACUGAGGGAACUCAAAGGCCGGUGCCAGUGCAGGUCCUUGGUGUGCUGAAUACUGGUCCCCUGGACCCACUGUUGUUUCUCUA
This 3560-nucleotide long non-coding RNA is filed under the name Homo sapiens (human). Its description in RNAcentral is "cat eye syndrome chromosome region, candidate 7, transcript variant 3 (CECR7)". The record is from RNAcentral. Lineage: Eukaryota; Metazoa; Chordata; Mammalia; Primates; Hominidae.